This 355-nucleotide ribosomal RNA is filed under the name uncultured bacterium. RNAcentral's name for it is "partial 16S ribosomal RNA". It matches the Rfam family "Bacterial small subunit ribosomal RNA", at positions 338 to 690 of the family's 1533-position model. The record is from RNAcentral.
CCUACGGGUGGCAGCAGUGAGGAAUAUUGGUCAAUGGGCGUAAGCCUGAACCAGCCAAGUCGCGUGAGGGAUGAAGGUUCUAUGGAUCGUAAACCUCUUUUAUAAGGGAAUAAAGUGCGGGACGUGUCCCGUUUUGUAUGUACCUUAUGAAUAAGGAUCGGCUAACUCCGUGCCAGCAGCCGCGGUAAUACGGAGGAUCCGAGCGUUAUCCGGAUUUAUUGGGUUUAAAGGGUGCGUAGGCGGCCUUUUAAGUCAGCGGUGAAAGUCUGUGGCUCAACCAUAGAAUUGCCGUUGAAACUGGGAGUGUGGAUGAUGUUUGAGGAAGGCGGAAUGCGUGGGGUAGCGGGGAAAGGCU